Molecule: ribosomal RNA, 274 nt
Filed under: uncultured bacterium
Lineage: Bacteria
Description: partial 16S ribosomal RNA
Rfam family: Bacterial small subunit ribosomal RNA
Source: RNAcentral
CUACGGAGGGUGCAAGCGUUACUCGGAAUCACUGGGCGUAAAGCGCGCGCAGGCGGCUUGAUAAGUUGGAUGUGAAAGCCUACGGCUCAACCGUAGAACUGCAUCCAAAACUGUCAGGCUAGAGUGUGCGAGAGGAAGAUGGAAUUAGUUGUGUAGGGGUAAAAUCCGUAGAGAUAACUAGGAAUACCAAAAGCGAAGGCAAUCUUCUGGAACACUACUGACGCUGAGGCGCGAAGGCGUGGGGAGCAAACAGGAUUAGAAACCCCAGUAGUCC